Pavo cristatus (Indian peafowl) is the source of this 187-nucleotide small nuclear RNA. Its record names the gene U4. It matches the Rfam family "U4 spliceosomal RNA". Rfam says of the family: U4 small nuclear RNA (U4 snRNA) is a component of the major U2-dependent spliceosome. The structure of U4 snRNA from yeast and human has been reported. Lineage: Eukaryota; Metazoa; Chordata; Aves; Galliformes; Phasianidae. The record is from Ensembl.
AGCUUUGUGCCGUGGUAGUAUUGGAGUCAAUGAGGUUGAUCCGAGGCGUGAUAAUUGCUGGUGGACAUGGACCCUGCUUGGUUGUGGAAUUAACAUGCUCCCUGAGAGCAGUGCUCCUCUGGAGCUCUGAACUGUGUCUGGAAUGGGGAUUUUUGGCCUCUGCUUUGAACUCUGUGCUGUAGAGCAG